UNUCCGUAGGUGAACCUGCGGAAGGAUCAUUACUGUGAUUUACUACUACACUGCGUGAGCGGAACGAAAACAACAACACCUAAAAUGUGGAAUAUAGCAUAUAGUCGACAAGAGAAAUCUACGAAAAAACAAACAAAACUUUCAACAACGGAUCUCUUGGUUCUCGCAUCGAUGAAGAGCGCAGCGAAAUGCGAUACCUAGUGUGAAUUGCAGCCAUCGUGAAUCAUCGAGUUCUUGAACGCACAUUGCGCCCCUCGGCAUUCCGGGGGGCAUGCCUGUUUGAGCGUCGUUUCCAUCUUGCGCGUGCGCAGAGUUGGGGGAGCGGAGCGGACGACGUGUAAAGAGCGUCGGAGCUGCGACUCGCCUGAAAGGGAGCGAAGCUGGCCGAGCGAACUAGACUUUUUUUCAGGGACGCUUGGCGGCCGAGAGCGAGUGUNGCGAGACAACAAAAAGCUCGACCUCAAAUCAGGUAGGAAUACCCGCUGAACUUAA
This 492-nucleotide ribosomal RNA is filed under the name Pichia kudriavzevii. RNAcentral describes it as "eukaryotic LSU rRNA". The stretch from base 137 to 289 matches the Rfam family "5.8S ribosomal RNA". Lineage: Eukaryota; Fungi; Ascomycota; Pichiomycetes; Pichiales; Pichiaceae. The record is from RNAcentral.